UUACAAAAAUAUGAAGCCAUUUGGAAAAGCUAGCAACCACAUGGAUGGAGGGAAACAAUUAAAAAUAUAAGAGUAUUGAAGAAACGUCAGAAGGCUCAGUGUGGUGGAAAUCUUAGAACUGAAUUUGCACAUGGGACCCCUGACCAUGUUCCUGAGAGGCAAGAGGGA
Molecule: long non-coding RNA, 168 nt
Filed under: Macaca mulatta (Rhesus monkey)
Lineage: Eukaryota; Metazoa; Chordata; Mammalia; Primates; Cercopithecidae
Description: lncRNA (ENSMMUG00000056160.1)
Source: RNAcentral